This 610-nucleotide long non-coding RNA is filed under the name Gossypium raimondii (Peruvian cotton). RNAcentral describes it as "long non-coding RNA (GRAI_LNC002339)". The record is from RNAcentral. Lineage: Eukaryota; Viridiplantae; Streptophyta; Magnoliopsida; Malvales; Malvaceae.
ACGAAAUCCUCCUCUUCCUCGUCCUCUAUUUGUUGAACGGUUAUUGUCACCUUUCACUUGAAAUGCCUUCUCUUCACUCUUCUCUUCACUCCUUUCUGCUGAUCUAUUGAUUCUCGCCUCAUGAGAUUGAAGAGAUCCCAUCAGUUCAUCAACGGAAAGAACUGACAGAUCUUUGGACUCUUCUAUAGCAGCCACAACAUGAUCAAAUUUUGUCGUUAAGCUUCGCAAGACUUUUGCUACAAUUGUCUCGUCUGAAAUUUUCUCACCAUAGGAGCGCAAUUGACCGACUAUUGUCCUUGUUCGUGACAAAAAAUCAGCAAUUGAUUCACCAUUCUUCAUCAUUAAGGUCUCAAAAUCACGUCGUAGUGAUUGUAAUUUCACUACUAUGACUCUUGAAUCACCUUGAUAUUCUUUCUGCAAGAUUGACCAUGCUUCAUUCGAUGUGGUUGCUGCUGCAAUUCGAGAGAAAAUAGAGUCAUGAACUGCUUGCUGGAUAAUGAACAAUGCCUUAGCAUCAUUUUUCCUGACUUCUUUCAACCUCCUAUCUUCUUCUUCAUCAGGUUCAAGUAUGUCAACGAACCCGUACUCCACCAAGUCCCAUAGCUCUUGC